RNAcentral lists this long non-coding RNA (1210 nucleotides) under Phascolarctos cinereus (koala). RNAcentral's name for it is "lncRNA (ENSPCIG00000024551.2)". Lineage: Eukaryota; Metazoa; Chordata; Mammalia; Diprotodontia; Phascolarctidae. The record is from RNAcentral.
AUGAAUCCAAGGGUCUGUUCUUGCGAGCUGCUGUCAUCUGCUGCAGUACUGUGGGAAACUACUGAGGUUCUACUGAGGAAUCCCAGGCCCGCCUGGGUGCCAAGAAGGACUUUCCUGGCCUGGGAGUCAAGGUGUUCUAAUGCCACUUUUACAGAUGUGGUCACUGCAGCUGUGAGGGCUGGGAAAGGGUUGGCUCCAUUUUACCAGGUAUAAACCUAUGACGUAGAUACUUACUCCUUAACCCAUCCCUGCCUCUUCACUCAAGGAAUAAUUACAGACAUCUUGGUCUUCUCCAGGCAAGACAAAAUCAUCCAGAAGAAGAAUGGCUACAUAUGUCAAGAGACUUACUGAAAGCAUAAAGCCUAAGACUGAUGGGAAUAACUUGUUCAAAAUAGUUAGCAUUUAUUAACCACCUACCAUGUACCAGGCACUGUGCUAAGCGUGAGUGAUACCAAGAAAGGGGGAAAAAAGAUAAGCCAGUGAAAUUACUGAAUGUGAAUGGUCUUGGUUUACCAAUGAAAAGAACCUGUGAAACAGUUGAGAUACAAGAAUAUAAUCAAAAGUACCUGCAUGAGUGAGUGAAAGCCACAUGAAGACCCCAAACAAUAUGGCACCAUAGAUGUUCUGACAAAUUGUGGUAUCAGUGGAUUUGUUUACAGAAAGGGGAGGGGUUUCAUGAUAGUGAUAUCAGACCAGAUCAAUGACCCCAGAAACUGGAAGAAGCUCAUUCUUAAGGAGCCUGGACUUAUUGGUUGAUGAAGACUUUGCAAAGAAAAUAGAAACUGUGCAGCCCGUGAUGAAGCAUUGACUUACAAGGAUAUUGUGGCUGGGAUUAUUCACCAGAGGCCCAUUAUUUUUCCUAAGUGAUGAGAUGACAAACCCCCAUCCUGCAACUAGAAACCACACAAUUGACUUGAGAAUUCAACAAACUCAUUAAAGUGGAACCAGUGAGCUAGCACGGAUAACCUUUUACACAAUGGCAUGGCUGUAGUAUUUAUUCCUUUCCCACCCCACUCUGGAUUUAAGAAUUUUGUUCAUAGAUUUUGCCAUACAAAGCACUCAGAACCUUCAAACCACAUGGAAUGAAAACCCUUUCAAUAUAUAGAGACCUUGUGGUGGGAAAAAUGAUUAUUAAGUGGGAAUAAUGUGAAGAAUAUUAUUUUCUUCAAUUUUUUUUCUGUCUCCAGGGACUCCGAGGAUUAUUAUAACU